This 446-nucleotide ribosomal RNA is filed under the name uncultured bacterium. RNAcentral describes it as "bacterial SSU rRNA". It matches the Rfam family "Bacterial small subunit ribosomal RNA", at positions 28 to 444 of the family's 1533-position model. The record is from RNAcentral.
CGGCCGCGUCGACGAUGAACGCUGGCGGCGUGCCUAACACAUGCAAGUCGAACGGAGUUAUUUUGGAAAGUCCUUCGGGACUGGAAUCUAUAACUUAGUGGCGGACGGGUGAGUAACGCGUGAGCAAUCUGCCUUUAGGAGGGGGAUAACAGUCGGAAAUGACUGCUAAUACCGCAUAAGCGCACAGCUUCGCAUGAAGCAGUGUGAAAAACUCCGGUGGUAUGAGAUGGACCCGCGUCAGAUUAGCUAGUUGGCAGGGUAACGGCCUACCAAGGCGACGAUCUGUAGCCGACCUGAGAGGGUGACCGGCCACAUUGGGACUGAGACACGGCCCAAACUCCUACGGGAGGCAGCAGUGGGGAAUAUUGCACAAUGGGGGAAACCCUGAUGCAGCGACGCCGCGUGAGCGAAGAAGUAUUUCGGUAUGUAAAGCGUCGACGCGGCCG